This 637-nucleotide ribosomal RNA is filed under the name Staphylococcus pseudintermedius. RNAcentral's name for it is "partial 23S ribosomal RNA". It matches the Rfam family "Bacterial large subunit ribosomal RNA", at positions 1239 to 1874 of the family's 2925-position model. Lineage: Bacteria; Bacillati; Bacillota; Bacilli; Caryophanales; Staphylococcaceae. The record is from RNAcentral.
UUCUAAGGGCGUUGAAGCAUGAUCGCAAGGACAUGUGGAGCGCUUAGAAGUGAGAAUGCCGGUGUGAGUAGCGAAAGACGGGUGAGAAUCCCGUCCACCGAUUGACUAAGGUUUCCAGAGGAAGGCUCGUCCGCUCUGGGUUAGUCGGGUCCUAAGCUGAGGCCGACAGGCGUAGGCGAUGGAUAACAGGUUGAUAUUCCUGUACCACCAUUAUUCGUUUUAAGCGAUGGGGGGACGCAGUAGGAUAGGCGAAGCGUGCUGUUGGAGUGCACGUCCAAGCAGUGAGAUUGAGUGUUAGGCAAAUCCGGCACUCUUAAGAUUGAGCUGUGAUGGGGAGAGGAACUUGUUCCUCGAGUCGUUGAUUUCACACUGCCGAGAAAAGCCUCUAGCUAGAAUAACGGUGCCCGUACCGCAAACCGACACAGGUAGUCAAGAUGAGAAUUCUAAGGUGAGCGAGCGAACUCUCGUUAAGGAACUCGGCAAAAUGACCCCGUAACUUCGGGAGAAGGGGUGCUCUUUGAGGUUCACGCUUCGAAGAGCCGCAGUGAAUAGGCCCAAGCGACUGUUUAUCAAAAACACAGGUCUCUGCUAAACCGUAAGGUGACGUAUAGGGGCUGACGCCUGCCCGGUGCUGGAA